RNAcentral lists this ribosomal RNA (464 nucleotides) under uncultured bacterium. RNAcentral's name for it is "partial 16S ribosomal RNA". It matches the Rfam family "Bacterial small subunit ribosomal RNA", at positions 28 to 507 of the family's 1533-position model. The record is from RNAcentral.
GACGAACGCUGGCGGCGUGCUUAACACAUGCAAGUCGAACGGAAAGGCCCAGCUUGCUGGGUGCUCGAGUGGCGAACGGGUGAGUAACACGUGGGUGAUCUGCCUCUAACUUCGGGAUAAGCUUGGGAAACUGGGUCUAAUACCGGAUAGGACAAUCGUUUAGUGUCGGUUGUGGAAAGUUUUUUCGGUUAGGGAUGAGCCCGCGGCCUAUCAGCUUGUUGGUGGGGUAGUGGCUUACCAAGGCUUUGACGGGUAGCCGGCCUGAGAGGGUGACCGGCCACAUUGGGACUGAGAUACGGCCCAGACUCCUACGGGAGGCAGCAGUGGGGAAUAUUGCACAAUGGGCGGAAGCCUGAUGCAGCAACGCCGCGUGCGGGAUGACGGCCUUCGGGUUGUAAACCGCUUUCGCCUGUGACGAAGCGUGAGUGACGGUAAUGGGUAAAGAAGCACCGGCUAACUACGUG